GGGUCAGUAGGUUGGUCGUGCCACCGGUACGUACUGGUCUCACUGAUUCCUCCUUCCUGAAGAACCGUAAUGCCAUUAAUUUGGUGUUGCGGGGAAACAGGACUGUUACUUUGAAAAAAUUAGAGUGUUUAAAGCAAGCUAACGCUCGAAUACAUUAGCAUGGAAUAAUGAAAUAGGACGAUCGAUCCUAUUUUGUUGGUCUCUAGGAUUGACGUA
Molecule: ribosomal RNA, 216 nt
Filed under: Glomeromycotina sp.
Lineage: Eukaryota; Fungi; Glomeromycota
Description: partial small subunit ribosomal RNA
Rfam family: Eukaryotic small subunit ribosomal RNA (bases 44-216)
Source: RNAcentral